CUACGGGCCGCUGCAGCUAAGAAUCUUCCGCAAUGGGGGAAACCCUGACGGAGCGACGCCGCGUGAACGAAGAAGGCCGGAAGGUUGUAAAGUUCUUUUCUUAGUGAAGAAUAAUAUAGCGAGGAAAUGCGUUAUAGAUGACGUUAGCUAAGGAAUAAGCCCCGGCUAAUUACGUGCCAGCAGCCGCGGUAACACGUAAGGGGCGAGCGUUUGUCGGAAUUAUUGGGCGUAAAGGGCGCGUAGGCGGCUUGGCAAGCUUGGUGUUAAAAACAACGGCUUAACCGUUGGUAAGCAUUGGGAACUGCCUGGCUAGAGGUCUGGAGGGGGAGCUGGAAUUCCUGGUGUAGGGGUGAAAUCUGUAGAUAUCAGGAAGAACACCGGUGGCGAAGGCGAGCUCCUGGCCGGAAACUGACGCUGAGGCGCGAAAGCGUGGGGAGCGAACAGGAUUAGAUACCCUUGUAGUC
This 464-nucleotide ribosomal RNA is filed under the name uncultured bacterium. RNAcentral's name for it is "partial 16S ribosomal RNA". It matches the Rfam family "Bacterial small subunit ribosomal RNA", at positions 339 to 795 of the family's 1533-position model. The record is from RNAcentral.